Molecule: long non-coding RNA, 509 nt
Organism: Capra hircus (goat)
Lineage: Eukaryota; Metazoa; Chordata; Mammalia; Artiodactyla; Bovidae
Exons: 3
Source: RefSeq, a predicted model, not a curated record
UAGGAUCUUCAACCUUCGUUGUGACAUGUGGGAUUUUUUUUUUCUUUUCUUCUUCUUUUUUUUUUCAGUUAUGACAUGUGAACUCAGUUACAGACUGUGAGAUCUAGUUCCCUGACCAGGGAUGGAACUGGGACCCCCUGAAUUGGGAGCGCAGAGUCCCAGCCACUGAACCACCAUGUGUGAAGGUAAUUAAUCCUCACCAGAACCCUGAAAGAGCGGGGUUUUUAUUGUCCCCAUUGUACAGAGGAAGAGACCAAGGAGAGCUGACUUGUGCAAGAGAGCUGGUUGAAACAAAUCUGCAUCUCCACACAGUGGAAUACUAUGCAGUUGUGACAAAGAAUGAGAAGACUACAUUUUCACUGUUGCGCGAAAGUGCAGAGUACACAGUGAGUUACUACUCUUUAUGUAAAAAGACUAUAUUUGAAUUUGUUUACAUUUGCAUAAUCUCUGGAAGAAUAAGCAAGGAACUAAUAAAAGUGCUCGUGUAUGUGUUAAGAGGAACUGGACAG